UAGCGGAGGAAAAGAAACUAACAGGGAUUCCCUUAGUAAGGGCGACUGAACCGGGAAGAGCCCAGCGCAUAACCUGGCGUCGUGACCCGGCGCCAGGGGUGUUGCGUUUCGGAGGGUCCGGCACGCAGUCUCUCACCGCCUAAGUUAUGCUUGAAAGCGGCCACUACCCAUGGAGGGUGACAGGCCCGUGUGGCGGCGCCCGCGAGGGUACACGAGAGAUUGUCGGAAAGGGCCUCUCCGUAGAGUCGGGUUGCUUGAAAAUGCAGCCCUAAGCAGGUGGUAAACUCCUUCUAAAGCUAA
Molecule: ribosomal RNA, 300 nt
Filed under: Hepatus epheliticus (calico box crab)
Lineage: Eukaryota; Metazoa; Arthropoda; Malacostraca; Decapoda; Calappidae
Description: eukaryotic LSU rRNA
Rfam family: Eukaryotic large subunit ribosomal RNA
Source: RNAcentral